GAGUUUGAUCAUGGCUCAGAUUGAACGCUGGCGGCAUGCUUUACACAUGCAAGUCGAACGGUAACAGGGAGCUUGCUCCGCUGACGAGUGGCGAACGGGUGAGUAAUGCGUCGGAACGUGCCGAGUAGUGGGGGAUAACACAUUGAAAGGUGUGCUAAUACCGCAUACGUACUGAGGUAGAAAGUGGGGGACCUUCGGGCCUCACGCUAUUCGAGCGGCCGACGUCUGAUUAGCUAGUAGGUGAGGUAAAGGCUCACCUAGGCGACGAUCAGUAGCGGGUCUGAGAGGAUGAUCCGCCACACUGGGACUGAGACACGGCCCAGACUCCUACGGGAGGCAGCAGUGGGGAAUUUUGGACAAUGUGCGCAAGCCUGAUCCAGCCAUGCCG
Molecule: ribosomal RNA, 388 nt
Filed under: uncultured bacterium
Lineage: Bacteria
Description: bacterial SSU rRNA
Rfam family: Bacterial small subunit ribosomal RNA
Source: RNAcentral